CGGGUCGCAGCAGGCGCGAAAACUUUACAAUGCGGGAAACCGUGAUAAGGGGACACCGAGUGCCAGCAUCAUAUGCUGGCUGUCCGGGUGUGUAAAAUACACCCGUUAGCAAGGGCCGGGCAAGACCGGUGCCAGCCGCCGCGGUAACACCGGCGGCCCGAGUGGUGAUCGUGAUUAUCGGGUCUAAAGGGUCCGUAGCCGGUUUGGUCAGUCCUCCGGGAAAUCCGAUGGCUCAACCAUUAGGCUUUCGGGGGAUACUGCCAGGCUUGGAACCGGGAGAGGUAAGAGGUACUACAGGGGUAGGAGUGAAAUCUUGUAAUCCCUGUGGGACCACCUGUGGCGAAGGCGUCUUACCAGAACGGGUUCGACGGUGAGGGACGAAAGCUGGGGGCACGAACCGGAUUAGAUACCCGGGUAAUCCCAGCCGUAAACGAUGCUCGCUAGGUGUCAGGCAUGGCGCGACCGUGUCUGGUGCCGCAGGGAAGCCGUGAAGCGAGCCACCUGGGAAGUACGGCCGCAAGGCUGAAACUUAAAGGAAUUGGCGGGGGAGCACAAGCCGAAUUC
RNAcentral lists this ribosomal RNA (564 nucleotides) under uncultured archaeon. Its description in RNAcentral is "bacterial SSU rRNA". It matches the Rfam family "Archaeal small subunit ribosomal RNA", at positions 326 to 893 of the family's 1478-position model. The record is from RNAcentral.